GACGAACGCUGGCGGCGUGCUUAACACAUGCCAGUCGAACGGAAAGGCCUGCUUUCCCUUGUGGAUUGCGGGUACUCGCGUGGCGAACGGGUGAGUAACACGUGAGUGAUCUGCCCCCAACUUGGGUAUAAGCCUGGGAAACUGGGUCUAAUUCCCGAUAGGACUGCAGGGUGGUGCCUGUGGUGGAAAACGAUUUUCUAGUGGUUGGGGCUGAGCUCGCGGCCUAUCAGCUUGUUGGUGGGGUAAUGGCCUACCAAGGCGGCGACGGGUAGCCGGCCUGGGAGGGUGGACGGGCACAUUGGGACUGAGAUACGGCCCAGACUCCUACGGGAGGCAGCAGUGGGGAAUAUUGCGCGAUGGGCGGAAGCCUGAUGCAGCGACGCCGCGUGGGGGAUGACGGCCUUCGGGUUGUAAACUCCUUUCGACCGCGAGGAAGCCACCUGGUUGGAAGGGUGGUGACGGUAGUGGUAGAAGAAGCACCGGCUAACUACGUG
RNAcentral lists this ribosomal RNA (494 nucleotides) under uncultured bacterium. Its description in RNAcentral is "partial 16S ribosomal RNA". It matches the Rfam family "Bacterial small subunit ribosomal RNA", at positions 28 to 507 of the family's 1533-position model. The record is from RNAcentral.